This 700-nucleotide ribosomal RNA is filed under the name Enterobacter sp. RS-BGM-21. RNAcentral's name for it is "bacterial SSU rRNA". It matches the Rfam family "Bacterial small subunit ribosomal RNA", at positions 74 to 773 of the family's 1533-position model. Lineage: Bacteria; Pseudomonadati; Pseudomonadota; Gammaproteobacteria; Enterobacterales; Enterobacteriaceae. The record is from RNAcentral.
UUGCUCUCGGGUGACGAAGUGGCGGACGGGUGAGUAAUGUCUGGGAAACUGCCUGAUGGAGGGGGAUAACUACUGGAAACGGUAGCUAAUACCGCAUAACGUCGCAAGACCAAAGAGGGGGACCUUCGGGCCUCUUGCCAUCAGAUGUGCCCAGAUGGGAUUAGCUAGUAGGUGGGGUAACGGCUCACCUAGGCGACGAUCCCUAGCUGGUCUGAGAGGAUGACCAGCCACACUGGAACUGAGACACGGUCCAGACUCCUACGGGAGGCAGCAGUGGGGAAUAUUGCACAAUGGGCGCAAGCCUGAUGCAGCCAUGCCGCGUGUAUGAAGAAGGCCUUCGGGUUGUAAAGUACUUUCAGCGGGGAGGAAGGUGUUGUGGUUAAUAACCACAGCAAUUGACGUUACCCGCAGAAGAAGCACCGGCUAACUCCGUGCCAGCAGCCGCGGUAAUACGGAGGGUGCAAGCGUUAAUCGGAAUUACUGGGCGUAAAGCGCACGCAGGCGGUCUGUCAAGUCGGAUGUGAAAUCCCCGGGCUCAACCUGGGAACUGCAUUCGAAACUGGCAGGCUGGAGUCUUGUAGAGGGGGGUAGAAUUCCAGGUGUAGCGGUGAAAUGCGUAGAGAUCUGGAGGAAUACCGGUGGCGAAGGCGGCCCCCUGGACAAAGACUGACGCUCAGGUGCGAAAGCGUGGGGAGCAAAC